Molecule: RNA transcript, 7062 nt
Organism: Neodiprion virginianus
Lineage: Eukaryota; Metazoa; Arthropoda; Insecta; Hymenoptera; Diprionidae
Gene: Coq6
Gene name: ubiquinone biosynthesis monooxygenase COQ6, mitochondrial
Exons: 9
Source: RefSeq, a predicted model, not a curated record
AUCAAGGAUAACCUAAGAUGGCGGCCAUUACCGGCGUUAUGUCGGUGUCAUCGGGUUGUGGGUUCGUCGCUUCUUUCUCCCACAAAUGCAAAGUAUUUCUACCCAAUUCUUACUCGCUGUCUAGGAAAUAUUGCAACCCGACGAGCCACAAUGAGAAACAUUAUGACAUUGUCAUUACUGGCGGUGGAAUGGUGGGGACAACAUUGGCCUGUGCGCUAGCCAAUAACCGAAUAUUGGAAAAUAAACGUAUACUUCUACUCGAGGGUGGCCAAAGGCAGGAUUACCAAGUGCAGGAUAAAUAUUCCAAUCGAGUUGUUGCCUUAAAUCAGCAGACUCGCACUCUCUUGUCAAGUAUAGGAGCAUGGAAACGUAUAGAAGCAGUUCGCUAUACACCCGUAAAGAAAAUGCAGGUGUGGGAUGCUUGUUCCGAUGCUAUGAUCACAUUCAACGAGGAUCAUUUGGCAGACGGGUUGGCUUACAUAGUGGAAAAUGAUCUGCUGCUUCACGCCGUCAGCCAGCAACUCUCGAAUAAGGAUUCCGUGGAUCUAGUCUACGGUGCCAAGGUGGAUGAUGUUUCACUACCAACAACGCCGGGUCAAAAUGCUACGAUAACUUUGCAAGAUGGUAAACGAUUCGGAACAAAGUUGUUGAUUGGUGCAGAUGGGGUUAAUUCUUUGGUUCGCAAGACAAUGGGAGUACAGUAUGUGGCGUGGAACUACGAGCAGAUGGGAAUUGUUGCUACUGUCAAAUUGUCCGAGCCUACAGAAAACAUCGUAGCAUGGCAAAGAUUCUUACCAAGUGGCCCUGUUGCAUUAUUACCGUUGACGGAUACACUGAGUUCCUUGGUGUGGUCUGUGUCGACGGCAGAAGCGAAAAAGCUCCUGAGUUUAUCCGAAGAGGAGUUUGUCGAUUCGUUGAACGACGCCUUCUGGAAAAUACACCCAAAAGACGGUAUGGUCGAAGCUGGCAUGAGGGCUCUGGGACAACUUCUGGAAGGGCUUUCCUUGCACAGCGGAUUUACCAGGCAGCUACAACCUUCGAUUCGUGGAAUCGUCGAGGGGACCAGGGCCGCAUUUCCACUUGGAUUCGGUCACGCGGCUUCUUACGUAAAACCGGGCGUUGCACUUGUUGGUGACGCUGCUCAUCGCGUUCAUCCCCUCGCCGGUCAGGGUGUAAAUCUAGGGUUCGGGGAUGUCGCCGCGCUCGUUCAAGUACUCGCCGAUGCCAGUCGAAACGGCGCCGUUCUCGGAGAUGUCGCGUACUUGGCCAAAUACGAAACAUCGAGGCAGCGGCAUAACGUUCCAACUAUGUUGGCAAUCGACGCGCUACAUAGAUUAUACAAAGGGACCGCCGCACCGAUCGUAUUAGCAAGAAGCUUAGGACUUCAGCUAACAAAUGCGUUCCCCCCAUUGAAGGGACGAAGCGCGGGUGCAGAAAGAGCUCGGUUGAAUAAAAUCGAGGUAAAUACUUGGGACUAGUUCGGGCGAACUGGGCGUAGUAGCACGGCGUUCGAUCAGGCGUCGGUAGCGAGGUCUGGCGACACCCACCAGGGGUAUAUAAACUCCCACCAUCCGUCUCCCGGGCACAUUCCAUCGUCGGACGUCGCAGGGGCUGUAUCGAGUGGUGUUGCCAGUGGCAGGGUGGACCGAACAAAUCAAGAACAAAGAUAUCGCAUACUUGACAUCCUACGAACGAAGCACAGGCGUGUUGCAUCGCGUACGAGAGAAGCCUCACCGGCGACUCGAAGCUUGAUACAGUCUCUACGUUUGAGAUGACAAUGGAAUGGAGGGCUGAGGUGGCUGGUUCUGAUGACAUUGGGAGGCUAGGGGGACUGAUGACUGGAAGCUCUGCGAAGGCUCUCUGCCAAUCAGCGGUUUGGUUUGUAGACCGUAUCGAAACCAAAGUCUUUUUUGCAAUAAAAAGUAUAGAUUCUUCUUAGCGGGCGUCCAUUCAUUACGUGUGGUUACUUAGGCGAUCCCUCCCCCAAUCUCACGCGAGAUUUUUCAAAAUGCGUAUUUUUAGUGUAAAUACGUUAACCUGUGCUUGACCGCGUUGAAUUUGUUUAAAAAAAACAUAAUUUGCUCAAUUAUUUUUAUUUAAGUCUAGUUAACACUAAUGUUUUCAGGCAGAAAGUAGUCUAGAAUCACAGUCGAGAAAAUUGCAAUAAAAUACUUGAAUAGGAACUGUUAAAAUUUGUAAAAGAAUAUUCAUUGUAAUUCAGUCCGCGGUGACUCGUGUGAAAAAACGUUACGUGAUAUUUGCCGAGACCCCCACUCUCCUCCGCGUGAAACUGGGCUAGACCCCUCCCCCCAACAACUCGCGGAAUUAAUGGACGCCCCCUUAUCUCGCACAUGUCUACUCAUGUGUUGAGAAUUAGCAAUAGAUGCGAAAAAGUAGUAUAUUGAUCAUUAAAUUCAUAGAUUAUUUUCAGAUCUAUUGUAGAGUCAAAGAACACACUUCACAUGUACCACAGACAUAAUUUUUUAUAAUUCUUAAGACCAACGUAAUCGUAACUCGUUAAUUAAAAGGAGAAAAAAAAAUUGUUGUACGCCAGUCUUAUAAAAUAUGUUUUUAAAGGAAAACUAUUGUAAACAUAUAUAAUUUAAUUCAUAUUGAAUUUUCUUUUUGUUGUGUAUAAUUCUGUUUUAUAGAUGGAGACCAAAGACUCGAUAAGAGAAUAUUUUUACAAAAAUAAAGAUGUUACAUAUUUAACAAGCAACAUUUUUUUCUAGUAUCACGAUAAUUUUAUUUCUUGUACUAUUAAUUCCAUAAAUCCUUUUCAGUACGGCAGUAAACCCAUAGAAAAUUGCGUUCCGAGCCAAAACUUGGUACAAAGGUCACCCCGGGGCUGUGAAUGUGUCUGGUUGCACUUCCACCGAAUCAAGCGCACGCCGCCGGGCGUUUUUUAAAAAACGAAAGGGAUAUUCUGUGUUUCUAGACAGCCAUGAGGCAGACUGGCUGAAAUGACACCUCAAAACUCUACACCCCUGAUUCGCAAGCGAGUACGCAUCGCAUAAUAAAUCAUCCCUCGUUUCGCCGCUGAUCCGAGAACAAGCCAGAAAACUAGGGGGAAUACCGGCGGUGAGCUGUUCCUAUGUAACACCCCCACCUCCCCCAGGAAAUAUGGUAUUUUCUCAGGUCUGACGAACGGCACGGGCAAGCUGAAGUUAAAUAGGUCUUUUACAUGCCAGACUUACGGGUUCAUCCCACCUAACGUCGCAUGCUGAUCGAUCAUCCCUCAUCACCGAUUGCACGAAACUCAGUCGAACCGCAGUUAUUCAGGAACGCACCAGUUUCAAUAUCAUUCUAGGAUAAAGAAAGUGCCAGGUAUGGGAGUGUAUACCAGAAAUAAGUGUAUCUCCUAUAUUAAUCGAGUCGUGUCUGUAAAGAUUGUCGAUUGGCAAGGUAUCGUCUUUUGUAGAUUUUUUAGCAAAUGCACAAUAUUAUGUAAUCAAGUUGAAAAGUAUGGCAAAUGCAAUGAUACACGGAGUAGCCUAGAUAUGAGCCCUGCUUGGGCGACAAAUAACCAUGUUUUCACAGAUUCGAACCAAAGAAGCGCGAGUUGAUUCCACCUGGAUGAAUAAGAUUGCGCAAAUGGAACAAUAAUAUGUUGCAGUUAUGUUGGGGAAAGAAUGGUGUGAGUGUUUUAGAUUGCUGAAUAAUGGAGACUAUACAUGAUGUCGCAAAUAUGGCCAUCAAGAGGGAAAAAGGAAAAUUAUACAGAGGUACCAGUUAUUUAGACAGCGUUUCUUGCGAUUUUCAUUGCCCUAGCCAAUAUGGACAAAUAUCAAAUUUUUCGUGCAUCAAGUGAAUGAUAUAAGAAAAUGUGAUGGGUGAUCAUUUUGGAGACAAUGUUCUUGGAUAUCUGACUGACUGGCACAGUAACCAAUAUCGUUGUUCUUGUUGUUCUUGUUGUUGUUGUUGUUUUAAGCUAUAGGAAUCCCAGCAGAAAUUAAGCGAGCAAGUCUGCAAAUUUUAUUGCUACCUACUAGCGUCGACAGAGGAUGCGAGGGGAAUCUCCACCCUGCUUCCACCCUUCUCUUCCGCUACCCUGGAUAGGGUUGGAUGUGGAUUUGCUAUUUGGUGUCAGAUAUUCUCCGCAAUAUAAAAAUUUUGGAUUGUGCAGAGGCAGAACAAGAAGGCAACCGCUUUAUCAGCUUUCAAGAAAGCAAGCAAGAAGUUAUCAAAAAUUAUGCCUGGUAACCUAAAAGAAUAGUAUCUAUACACAUAAAAUAUAUAUUUAUGAAUGGUUCGGCGACGGCAUGCAGAGACAAAUUGACUACUGCGUAUCGACAUUUUUAUCAAGCUGGGGAAACAGAGAUAACGAGUUUGGACUCAUCCACUAACCAACGUAGCAUCUUUUUAUAUACCAAUUUGAGAUCUGUGUUUGCAAUAUUGAUACCUACUGCGUGAGUUGAAAAUUAAUGGGGCGGCGGGUGGGGCUUCACAUACCUUUUGAUUUUCGACUGUAGGAUUGCCUGCUUGGUCAAGAUAAAACAUAUGAAUUGGACCCUGAAACAGUACCAAGGGUCGAGCCAUGGUAGUCCAAGCUGCUCGACAAGGUGUCAUACAAGAUAUUCAUCCAUUCGCGUACAAAAACCAGGUGUUAUUGCCAUCAGGAGAACAAUGAGAGGAGACCGAGGCUAGAACUGUUGACAAAGAUUUAAAAGUUGCUGAUACUGGAUAUUGUGCAGUCGGAGAUACGAAAGAUAACGUAUGUGUUUGAACGUAGAUCACCCAAGUCUUUACAGAGGUAAAAGGUCAAUGAUUGGUUGUAAUAAUUUGUGAAAACAUAUUUGGGGGGGUUGGGGCAAUCAAUAUGACAAUUUAAGCUUCAGGAUUGCUGUCGAAUUAGGGUUAUUGAUCCUGGCAGCAGAGUUGCGAGAAUAUCGGUGGCGAGAGGGUUCGUAAGGUGUAAUGAGGUAACAGAGGAAUGAAUAUGGCUGUUUAGAGCGGAAUAUUACUAUCAUUAUCUGUGCAAAUAUUUGGGGCGGGGAUGGGGAAAGUCAACAUUCUCAUUUUGAGCUACAGGAAUACCGACCGAUGCGAUAGCGACGCAUUGCGAGAUACGGCGCAUGGAUCGCUGGGCUUGACGUACCAGUUGUAUGGCGCAUUCCCCUGAACGAUUGACGAGGUACCGUGAUCAAUACUAAAUAAUUCUGAACAGAAGCAUAAGAGUAAAAUACCGGUUGAUCGCCGUCGGGUGCACACGGUAAUCUAAAGAUAUUUCGCUGCAUUCUAUCUCAUUCAACAAUGUAAGGUGAUAGACGUAAAUUCUUCGCAAUAAGGUACAUUAUACGCAACAGAUGCCUCUUGGCGGAAAUUUAGGUGUACAACAGAGUAUGCAAACUCGUGGAGAUGUCAAUCUCGGAAGUUGGGAGCAGCAAUGUUUGAUUUCUUUUCUAGAAACUAAAGGGAAAGCAGAUAGCGCCUCACCUGUCUUUUAACCAGCAUGACGUGUUAAUGCUUUUCGACAUGGCACGAGUCCCUGUGACAUACAAACAGUGCUCAAUGCAAAAUAGUACAGAUGUUUUCUUCCUUAGAAGCUCUGGUGAAACAGUGCGGUGGAGUUGGUUCAGUUCUGUGUAAAGUUGCAUGUGAUUACGUGGGCAAGUCUUUCAAGCGAUGUGUAAAUAUUAAAUAUUGCUGUGCGGCUAUGAUUUUGCUAGGUAUUGAAGGCACAAAAAAUUAUAUGUAAUCUUCUUUACUGGACUAGCUGAGGACUGUGGCAUUGUACUUUGUAUAUAAAUAUGGCAUAGCUCGGCAAAAUUAAUCAGGUACGCAAGAAUCAUCCUCGUGUUCCUGGCACAAGUAAAUUAGUUGUAUCUACAUAUUGUGGCAACCAAUUUGCAAUACUCUGUACAGCCUAUGGACAUUAAGUAUGAUCGGAUGUGAAGUGGCAUAGCAUAAUUAGGCUGUUAUCGGUGAGUGAUAUGGAAUGCAAUUAUUAUAAUUUACUGUCCGGCUUUAUUGCUGUUAAUUGUUCUUCAGAAAUAGCGAUGCGCGUAGACGUACGUAGAUGCAUACAUACACACCUAUAUAGACACAUACGUACGUGCAUACAAAGUUACAUUGAUAUACCCACAGACGUAUGUGCAUAUGAUUGUGCUUAAUAACUAUAGUUCUGCCUCUGGUUAUAUACAAUUUCACAAUAAUUGUGUAGCAUCGAUUGUAAGGAACUCACUCUUAGGAAUUGAUCUUUUGUAGUGCUGUGUAUCUUUGUAUUAUUUGAAAACGAUGUGAAUAAAUCGCUACUAUGCGCCGGUCGGCAGGGAGGGGAGGGGGGAACUUGGGAGGCUAAUAUCUUUAUCUGUAGGUUGAAGAACUUUCAGAAGGAAAAACGUGUGCUACACUUUCAAGGAACAAAAUAAGAUCUUACACGUCGCGUUUGUUGAAGAUUUCAAACUGCACAAUCAUUUACCUAUUGACGAAAAUCGACAUAUGAUGCACUUCUCAUCGAUUGACGUCUGUGUAAACACAAGGUGAUACCGUCACUGAGGUAUUUUAAAUGAUGUAAAAUAUGAGACGCUUUGAUCCAGACUACAGCAAGGAAAUAUGGAUACGGUAUAUCCCUGGAAGUAUUUCAAAUUUAUUCACAUGAACAAUUGAAUCAAAGGAUGAAAAUUGACAUGACUAAAUAAUUGUUUACUCUCCAGAUAAAGCAUUAAGCUGUACGGUAACGGUUAACUGCAACAUUACAUCUUUCCCAAUAGUUAUAAAUUGAUAGACAAGCGAUAGAUCCCAUAAAGAUGCUCAGGAUUUGCGACCAUGCUGGACAAGAUAAAUAGUACCAUACAUGCAUGGUUAAUAGAUAUUUAUGUACCUUUAGUUAUUGCACUGUUGGUGAUUCGCUUGAGGAUACUUCGGAGUAGAAAAUGCCUUCAACUAACGGCCCUUAGAUUGAUGUGUGGGUGACGAGAGAUUGGGAUGAUUUUAAAUAAUGAAGAAGCUGCAAUGUAAAAGACUGAACAAUUGGGGUUGACCUGUAUACCACAAGGAUAGUCAAUUGAAAAUAUUCUGGAAUGGUCAGGUACAAAUUAUACAUUUUAUCAAAAUGGGAAA